RNAcentral lists this ribosomal RNA (450 nucleotides) under uncultured bacterium. RNAcentral describes it as "bacterial SSU rRNA". It matches the Rfam family "Bacterial small subunit ribosomal RNA", at positions 29 to 526 of the family's 1533-position model. The record is from RNAcentral.
AACGAACGCUGGCGGCAGGCUUAACACAUGCAAGUCGAACGCCCCGCAAGGGGAGUGGCAGACGGGUGAGUAACACGUGGGAAUCUACCUUGCUCUGCGGAACAACUCCGGGAAACUGGAGCUAAUACCGCAUACGCCCUAACGGGGAAAGGUUUACUGGAGCAAGAUGAGCCCGCGUCCGAUUAGCUAGUUGGUGGGGUAAAGGCCUACCAAGGCGACGAUCGGUAGCUGGUCUGAGAGGAUGAUCAGCCACACUGGGACUGAGACACGGCCCAGACUCCUACGGGAGGCAGCAGUGGGGAAUAUUGGACAAUGGGCGCAAGCCUGAUCCAGCCAUGCCGCGUGAGUGAUGAAGGCCUUAGGGUUGUAAAGCUCUUUUGUCCGGGAAGAUAAUGACAGUACCGGAAGAAUAAGCCCCGGCUAACUUCGUGCCAGCCGCCGCGGUAAAAC